Dreissena polymorpha is the source of this 764-nucleotide long non-coding RNA. RefSeq lists it as uncharacterized. NCBI's taxonomy places the organism in Eukaryota, Metazoa, Mollusca, Bivalvia, Myida, Dreissenidae. The transcript is spliced from 7 exons. The record is from RefSeq and is a predicted model, not a curated record.
AGUGCCCCGCCGACACAGACGCGAUGGGUACUCACUGGUUUUCCGGCAGAAUUGGCUUUAUAGAGGGAAUGUCGUGCCCAUCAAACACAUACGGAAAUGUCACAAGGUACUGUGACAUGGACGGCCUUUACCGGGACCCUGUGUACAACUGUACACGGACCUCAAUCUUAGACAUAUACACCAAGUUUAUGUAUACGACAUGGAAAGCAACCAAUAUACUAAGUAGAUUAACCGACGUAAUCACUGACUCGGAUGAUCAGCUCAUGGUCGGAGACGUGGAAAAAGUACGUUUCAUUCUCCAGAAUGUCGGAAGUGAUUUGGGCCAGAGCGACAUUGAACCGGAAAAAUACACUGAUUUUUUCUUAGAUGUGGCUAACACACUAAUUGGUGAGAAAGUUGAAUCAACGUGGAAAGUAUUAGUAAAUCAGACAAGAAUUGGUGCCGAUUAAAUUGUUAGAUGCGUGGAUAAAUUUGUGAACAACAUGGUGACACAAUCGAACGGAACAAUUUACAACCAUACCUUCAUUAAAUCGAACUUGAUUGCAGCAAUAUCAGAAACAUUGAAUUGUUCCAUUGUAAAUUUCCCGGGCGAUACAUUGGUCGGUUACAGCAGGAACAGCGACCACGAUUUCAAAGAGUUCCCUUUAUGGGCUAGCGGUCGCUCAAAUAAUAAACGUGCACCAUGCAUGAACUACCAGGUCUACAGCGGGAUUGUUUAUCGAAAUCUUUCAAGUAUCGUUUCGUUGAACUCCGCAAUCGAUCGG